AGAGUUUGAUCCUGGCUCAGAUUGAACGCUGGCGGCAUGCUUUACACAUGCAAGUCGAACGGCAGCACGGGUGCUUGCACUUGGUGGCGAGUGGCGGACGGGUGAGUAAUACAUCGGAACGUAUCCUAAAGUGGGGGAUAACGCAUCGAAAGAUGUGCUAAUACCGCAUACACUCUGAGGAGGAAAGUAGGGGAUCGAAAGACCUUAUGCUUUUGGAGCGGCCGAUGUCUGAUUAGCUAGUUGGUAAGGUAAUGGCUUACCAAGGCAACGAUCAGUAGUUGGUCUGAGAGGACGACCAGCCACACUGGGACUGAGACACGGCCCAGACUCCUACGGGAGGCAGCAGUGGGGAAUUUUGGACAAUGGGCGCAAGCCUGAUCCAGCAAUGCCGCGUGAGUGAAGAAGGCCUUCGGGUUGUAAAGCUCUUUCAGUUGAGAAGAAAAGAUUGUGACUAAUAAUUGCAAUUCAUGACGGUAUCAACAGAAGAAGCACCGGCUAACUACGUGCCAGCAGCCGCGGUAAUACGUAGGGUGCGAGCGUUAAUCGGAAUUACUGGGCGUAAAGGGUGCGCAGGCGGUUCUGUAAGUCAGAUGUGAAAUCCCCUGACUCGGCCUGAGGUACUGGCGUUUGAAACUACUGAGUCUGGCAGUGUGGCAGUAGGGGGGUAGGAGUAUACGCGUGUGUCACCAGUGAUAUGCGUCGAGAUAUAGAAGAGAUAUCUAUGGCGAAGUGGAGCCCCCUCGCUUCAUCACUGACUCUCAUGCACGAAAGAGUGGGGAGCGAACAGAGAUUAGAUAGACUCGGUAUUCACUCACCCUAAUCAAUGUCAACUAGUGGGUUGGGCCUUAUCAGAUUUCGUCAACGUAGAUAAUGUCGUGAAGUAGACCGCUUGCGGAGUACGGUGGCAAGAUUAAAAAUCAAAAUGAAUUGACGAGGAGCCGCCCACGCCGUGGGUUAUGUGGUUUUUAUUUAUUUAACGCGAAAAGCACUACCUUUCCCCUACAUGUCGGAGAAUGUUUAGAGAUGAGUUAGUGUCCGUAAGGGAAUCUGAACACAGGUCUGCAUGGCUGUCGUCAGCUCGUGUCGUGAGAUGUUGGGUUAAGUCCCGCAACGAGCGCAACGCUUGUCAUUAAUUUCCAUCAUUUAGUUGGGCACCUUAAUGAAACUGCCGGGCCAAACCGGAGGAAGGGGGGGAUGACGUCAAGUCCUCCUGGCCCUUAUGGGUCGGGCUUCCCCCCUAAUACCAAGGGGGGUACCGGAGGGGGCCAACCCGGGAGGGGGAGCCAUUUCCGAAAACCCCUUCUAAUUCCGGUCGGAGUUUUCAACUUGGUUCCCAGAAGUUGGAAUCGUUAGUAAUCGUGGAUCAGCAUGUCGCGGUGAAUUCGUUCCCGGGUCUUGUACCCCCCCCCCGUCCCCCCCUGGGAGGGGGUUUCCCCCGAAGCCGGUAGUCUAAACGUAAGGAGGGCGCGUGUCACGGGAGAUUCAUGACUGGGUAAGUCGUAACAAGGUAACC
This 1513-nucleotide ribosomal RNA is filed under the name uncultured bacterium. RNAcentral's name for it is "bacterial SSU rRNA". It matches the Rfam family "Bacterial small subunit ribosomal RNA". The record is from RNAcentral.